AGCUAAUAGAUACCCGGUAGUCCACGCCCUAAACGAUGUCUACUAGUUGUUGGUGGAGUAAAAUCCAUGAGUAAACGCAGCUAAACGCGUGAAGUAGACCGCCUGGGGAGUACGGUCGCAAGAUUAAAACUCAAAGGAAUUGACGGGGGCCCGCACAAGCGGUGGAUUAUGUGGAUUAAAUUCGAUGCAACGCGAAAAACCUUACCUGGCCUUGGCAUGCCACUAACGAAGCAGAGAUGCAUUAGGUGCCCGUAAGGGAAAGUGGACACAGGUGCUGCAUGGCUGUCGUCGGCUCGUGUCGUGAGAUGUUGGGUUAAGUCCCGCAACGAGCGCAACCCUUGCCAUUAAUUGCCAUCAUUUAGUUGGGCACUUUAAUGGGACUGCCGGUGACAAACCGGAGGAAGGUGGGGAUGACGUCAAGUCCUCAUGGCCCUUAUGGCCAGGGCUUCACACGUAAUACAAUGGUCGGUACAGAGAGUUGCCAACCCGCGAGGGGAGCUAAUCUCAGAAAGCCGAUCGUAGUCCGGAUUGUUCU
RNAcentral lists this ribosomal RNA (535 nucleotides) under uncultured bacterium. RNAcentral's name for it is "bacterial SSU rRNA". It matches the Rfam family "Bacterial small subunit ribosomal RNA", at positions 767 to 1304 of the family's 1533-position model. The record is from RNAcentral.